This 253-nucleotide ribosomal RNA is filed under the name uncultured bacterium. Its description in RNAcentral is "partial 16S ribosomal RNA". It matches the Rfam family "Bacterial small subunit ribosomal RNA", at positions 524 to 776 of the family's 1533-position model. The record is from RNAcentral.
UACGGAGGGUGCAAGCGUUAUCCGGAUUUACUGGGUUUAAAGGGUGCGCAGGCGGAUAUGUAAGUCAGUGGUGAAAUCUCCGGGCUUAACCCGGAAAUUGCCGUUGAUACUAUAUAUCUUGAAUGUUGUGGAGGUAAGCAGAAUAUGUCAUGUAGCGGUGAAAUGCUUAGAGAUGACAUAGAAUACCUAUUGCGAAGGCAGCUUACUACGCAGAUAUUGACGCUCAUGCACGAAAGCGUGGGGAUCAAACAGG